Molecule: transfer RNA, 74 nt
Filed under: Corynebacterium pseudogenitalium
Lineage: Bacteria; Bacillati; Actinomycetota; Actinomycetes; Mycobacteriales; Corynebacteriaceae
Also listed under: 1 other name
Description: tRNA-Val
Rfam family: tRNA
About the family: Transfer RNA (tRNA) molecules are approximately 80 nucleotides in length.
Source: RNAcentral
GCGGCUUUAGCUCAGCUGGAAGAGCAAUUGGUUUACACCCAAUAGGUCGGGGGUUCGAUCCCCUCAGGCCGCAC